This 3122-nucleotide long non-coding RNA is filed under the name Homo sapiens (human). RNAcentral describes it as "HSALNT0388075". The record is from RNAcentral. Lineage: Eukaryota; Metazoa; Chordata; Mammalia; Primates; Hominidae.
UGAAAGCUGUUUUGUUCUUGUUAUCACUGAUGUCUUUCCUUUGCCUUGUUGUGUUUCUUUUAUCUUCCAAUGGCCAUUACAGAAUUUGAAGAAUUUGAACUUUAUGAGGUAGCUAAUAAAAUAAUUAAUGCAGAUGCUUUAAUGAGAGAGGUGUGAAAUGGUUUGACCUCUUCUGUUUUAGAGUAUUUUAUAGCAUUCCAUUUUUAUAGGUGAAGAACAUAGGGGGAUUUUCCACUCCCCCGCUUCACCUGACUAGCUUUAAAAACAUAAAAACAAAACGGGAAAAUGUAGCUUUAUGUUCUACUUCUUUUUUUUUUUGAGAUGGAGUCUUGCUCUGUCGCCCAGGCUGGAGUGCAGUGGUGCAAUCUCGGCUCACUGCAACCUCCGCUUCCAGGGUUCAACCAAUUCUCUUGCCUCAGCCUCCCAAGUAGCUGGGAUUACAGGCGCCUGCCACUGCGCCCAGCUAAUUUUUGUAUUUUUAGUAGAGAAAAGGGUUUCACCAUCUUUGCCAGGCUGGUCUCUAACUCCUGACUUCGUGAUCCUCCUGCUUUGGCCUCCCAAAGUGCUGGGAUUACAGGCAUGAGUAUGUUCUAUAUUUUUACAAUUAAAAAAAAAAUUUUGUGGCUUUUCAACAAUUUUUAUUUGGAAGUAAUUUCAAAUUUAUAAAGUUGCAAGAUUAGCACAAAGCAUACUAAUGUUUUUUGAAAUACACCCAUUGUUAACAUUUUGUACCAUUUGCUUUAUCAUUUGCACUCUGUGUGUUGGGGGUCUGUGUGUGCAGUAUGCAAUAGGUUUUUCUUAAACCAUGUUAGAGUAAGUUGCAUAUAUCAAAGAAAUACCUUUUCCCACAAAUAAACUUAAGUAGUUCCCCAAAAUAAGGAUAUUCUAUAAAACCAUAGUAUAGCUAGCAGUUUUAUUAAAUUUAACCUUCCAUAUUCCAGUUUUAUCAGUUGAUUCCAUAAUGUCCUUUGUGGCACUUUGUUACUCUCGUACAUCAUCCCAUCCAGGAUCAGGUAUUUCAUUUAGCCCUCAUGUGUCUUCAGUCACAUUUAAUCUGGAACAGUUCCUCAGCUUUUGUCUUUUUUUUUUUUUUUUGACCUUGAUGUUUUUGAGGAAUAGUCUUUGUUUUAAAAUAGAGUAUUUCUCAUAUUGUCCUUUUUUUUUUUUUUUUUUGAGACAGAGCCUCGCACUGUCACUCGGGCUGGAGUGCAAUGGUGUGAUCUCGGCUCACUGCAACCUCCACUUCCUGGGUUCACACUAUUCUCCUGCCUCAGCCUCUCGAGUAGCUGGAAUUACAGGCGCACACCACCACACCCGGCUUAUUUUUUGUAUUUUUAGUAGAGGCGGGGUUUCACUGUGUCGGCCAGACUGGUCUCAAACUCCUGACCUGGUGAUCUGUCCACCUCAGCCUCCCAAAAUGCUCAUAUUGUACUUUUCUAGUGUUUCCUCAUGAUGAGAUUCAGGUUACGCAUUCUUGGCCAGAAUACUACAUAAGUAGUUUGUAUUCUUCUUAAGAGAGUUGGAUUUAGAGAGACAUAAUGGUCAUCUGCCCCUCAGUUUUCAUCCUCAACCAAGAUGAUUGAUUUUUUCACUGUGUAGUUACUGUCAUUUUCUUUACCACAAAUAAGUGGGAAGUACUUUAAGACCAUGCAAACAUUCAUGUUUUCCAUCAGUAUUUCCCUCCUGGAUUUGAGGUCUAUUGAUUCUCGCCUGAACCAUCUUUACUACAGUGGUUAUAGAGUGAUGGUUUUCACCACCACUCAUUCCACACUACAGGCAGCACUUAUCAUUUUGCUGUAAGCAAGGGACUUUCUUUUUCUUCUUUUUAUUUACUUGUCUUUUUUCUUUUGUUUUUGUUUUUGUUUUUUUGGGAGAUGGAGUCUCACUCUAUUACCCAGGCUGGAGUGCACAGAGUGCAGUGCUGCGAUUUUGGCUCACUCCAACCUCUGCCUCCCGGGUUCAAGCGAUUCUCCUGCCUCAGCCUCCCAAGUAGCUGAGAUUACAGGCACCCACCACCACUCCUGGCUAAUUUUUGUAUUUUUAGUAGAGACAGGGUUUCACCAUGUUGGCCAGGCUGGUCUUGAACUCCUGACCUCAGGUGAUGCGCCCACCUCGGCCUCCCAAAGUGCUGGGAUUACAGAUGUGAGCCACCACACCUGGCUGUCUUUUCAUUAUUGGUGUGAACUCAUGAGUUCUCAUAUUUUCCAUAGUUUAUCAUUCAUUACUAUUCUCACUGUUUUCAUACUUGAAUUGUCCCAAAUUUGGCCCAUGAGAGCCCCCUCAGUUGAUGCUUUUGUAUGCUUCUAUCAUUUUGGGAGAUUAUUUCCUUACUUUCUAGAAUAACAAGAUGUUCCGGGUUUACUGUGUACCUAUCCUGCCUUAAUUCUAGAAUCAGCUCUUUCUCCAACAAGCUUUGGUUCUUCUUAGUGGCGCAUGAUAUGUAUUAGAGACCAAGAUACGGGCACUAGGUAUGGGCAUUAUUACUGGGAUGUCUUUGUUUCUGGGCCCUUUAAGUAGACAGAGGUAGAAAAUACAUGCAUGUAUAAAUACAUAUACUGACACCCUAGUAUACACAUAUACAAGUGUUUUCUCAGUCUUGGCACGAUUGACAUUUUGGGCCAAAUAAUUCCUUAUUGUGGGGUCAGUCUUGUAUAGUUUUGGUUGUUAGCAACAUCUCUGGCUUCCACCCACUAGAUGCUACAAAGAAAAUUAUCUCCAGACAUUGCCAGUGUCACCAGUUGAAAACUACUGAUAAGUACCUACAUGUCCACAUACUUAACUUUAGAAAUCAUUAGGCUACAGUGAUGCUUCUAAUUCUGGUCUGUCCCCACAGAAUUCUUUAUCUUCUCUCAUACCAUUUAUUUGUAUCCCUCUUCUUCUAUAGUGAGAACUCUGACUCCCAAUAAUAUCAAUAGAUUGAUUCACUUCCUCAAUUCUGUAAUAUAGGAUGAGCAGCCCAAGUCCAGAAAUCCAAAAUGCUUCAAAAUCUGAAACUUUUUGAGUGCCAACAUGACACUACAAGUGGACAGUUCCACACCUGACUGACCCCAUGUGACAAGUUGCAAAUGUUAUUUAAAAUUUUGUAUAGAAUUACCUUCAUUAGAACUUGGGGAUAAGUGUUC